This 424-nucleotide ribosomal RNA is filed under the name uncultured prokaryote. Its description in RNAcentral is "bacterial SSU rRNA". It matches the Rfam family "Bacterial small subunit ribosomal RNA", at positions 355 to 796 of the family's 1533-position model. The record is from RNAcentral.
UGGGGAAUAUUGGACAAUGCGGGAAACCGUGAUCCAGCAAUGCCGCGUGAGUGAUGAAGGCCUUAGGGUUGUAAAGCUCUUUUACCAGGGAUGAUAAUGACAGUACCUGGAGAAUAAGCUCCGGCUAACUCCGUGCCAGCAGCCGCGGUAAUACGGAGGGAGCUAGCGUUGUUCGGAAUUACUGGGCGUAAAGCGCGCGUAGGCGGCUAUCCAAGUCAGGGGUGAAAUCCCGGGGCUCAACCUCGGAACUGCCUUUGAUACUGCUGGUCUCGAGUUCGAGAGAGGUGAGUGGAAUUCCGAGUGUAGAGGUGAAAUUCGUAGAUAUUCGGAGGAACACCAGUGGCGAAGGCGGCUCACUGGCUCGAUACUGACGCUGAGGUGCGAAAGCGUGGGGAGCAAACAGGAUUAGAUACCCGUGUAGUCC